GACGAACGCUGGCGGCGUGCUUAACACAUGCAAGUCGAACGGAAAGGCCCUGCUUUUGUGGGGUGCUCGAGUGGCGAACGGGUGAGUAACACGUGAGUAACCUGCCCUUGACUUUGGGAUAACUUCAGGAAACUGGGGCUAAUACCGGAUAGGAGCUCCUGCUGCAUGGUGGGGGUUGGAAAGUUUCGGCGGUUGGGGAUGGACUCGCGGCUUAUCAGCUUGUUGGUGGGGUAGUGGCUUACCAAGGCUUUGACGGGUAGCCGGCCUGAGAGGGUGACCGGCCACAUUGGGACUGAGAUACGGCCCAGACACCUACGGGAGGCAGCAGUGGGGAAUAUUGCACAAUGGGCGGAAGCCUGAUGCAGCAACGCCGCGUGCGGGAUGACGGCCUUCGGGUUGUAAACCGCUUUCGCCUGUGACGAAGCGUGAGUGACGGUAAUGGGUAAAGAAGCACCGGCUAACUACGUG
RNAcentral lists this ribosomal RNA (468 nucleotides) under uncultured bacterium. RNAcentral's name for it is "partial 16S ribosomal RNA". It matches the Rfam family "Bacterial small subunit ribosomal RNA", at positions 28 to 507 of the family's 1533-position model. The record is from RNAcentral.